UGUCUAGGCUCGCACAUCGAUGAAGAACGCUGCGAACUGCGAUACGUAAUGCGAAUUGCAGGAUUCAGUGAGUCAUCGAAAUUUUGAACGCAUAUUGCACUUUCGGGUUAUGCCUGGAAGUAUGCCUGUAUCAGUGUCCG
RNAcentral lists this ribosomal RNA (140 nucleotides) under Pythium insidiosum. Its description in RNAcentral is "5.8S ribosomal RNA". It matches the Rfam family "5.8S ribosomal RNA", at positions 17 to 154 of the family's 154-position model. Rfam says of the family: 5.8S ribosomal RNA (5.8S rRNA) is a component of the large subunit of the eukaryotic ribosome. It is transcribed by RNA polymerase I as part of the 45S precursor that also contains 18S and 28S rRNA. Functionally, it is thought that 5.8S rRNA may be involved in ribosome translocation. The record is from RNAcentral. Lineage: Eukaryota; Oomycota; Peronosporomycetes; Pythiales; Pythiaceae.